This 63-nucleotide non-coding RNA is filed under the name Actinomycetota bacterium. The record is from RNAcentral. Lineage: Bacteria; Bacillati; Actinomycetota.
GGCGGCCCGGUCCCGAGGCCCCGGACGAGAUGCGCCGUACCCGGUUAUGCACGACGACGCGCA